GAGCCGGCGACACCUUCACUGAGUUUCUGAUCUAUCAUGCUGACGACGGUUGGUGCUAUGCCAACCGUGGCGUUAACGGAUAACAGAGAAUCUGGGUUCGAUUCUGGAGAGGCCGCAUGAGAAACGGCGACCACUUCUAAGGAAGGCAGCAGGCACGCAAAUUACCCACUUCGGACACCGAGAGGUAGUGACGAACAAUACCGAUGCGGCGCGCAAAUGCGUCGCCGUAAUCGGAAUGAGUACACUUCAAAUCCUUUAACGAGGAUCCACUGGAGGGCAAGCCUGGUGCCAGCAGCCGCGGUAAUUCCAGCUCCAGCAGCGUAUAUUUAUAUUGCUGCGUUUAAAAAGCUCGUAGUUGAAGCGUCAGACGCGGGAGGGCGGACGGCCGCACUGGUCGCUCUCGCCCGACCGAGCCAGGCGCAGAGGGCGCGCGUCGCUUGCACUUUACCGUGUGAGCGCGCCGCCGCUGCACGUUCACCUUGAAGAAAUUGAACCGCUUAGAGGGGGCGAGCAGCUUGAACAGCUCAGCAUGGUAUGAUGGAACAUGGGCUCGUACUCAUUUUGUUGGUUAGAGAGUCGGCGAGCCAAUGAUUAACAGGGACUGCCGGGGGCAUUCGUACUCGGACGGGAGAGGUGAAAUUCAAGGAUCGUCCGAAGACGCCCUACUGCGAAAGCAUUUGCCAAGAAUGUUUUCAUUAAUCAAGAACGAAAGUCAGAGGUGCGAAGGCGAUCAGAUACCGCCGUAGUUCUGACCGUAAACGAUGCCGACUGGCAAUUGGGCGCACUUCUAUAGAAGUUGCCGCCAGCAGUAUUGCCCGGGAAACCAAAGUCAUUGGGUUCCGGGGGGAGUAUGGUUGCAAAGCUGAAACUUAAAGGAAUUGACGGAAGGGCACCACCAGGAGUGGAGCCUGCGGCUUAAUUUGACUCAACACGGGAAACCUCACCCGGCCCGAACACUGUUAUGACAGACAGGUUGAGAGCUCUUUCUCGAUUCAGUGGUUGGUGGUGCAUGGCCGUUCUUAGUUCGUGGAGCGAUCUGUCUGGUUAAUUCCGAUAACGAACGAGACUCUUGCCUGCUAAAUAGACGGCGUCGACCUCGUCGGCGGCCGUUCGCUUCUUAGAGGGACAAGCGGCUUUUAGCCGCGUGAAGCCGAGAGCAAUAACAGGUCAGUGAUGCCCUCAGAUGUUCGGGGCCGCACGCGCGCUACACUGUUUGCAUCAGCGUGUUUCUCCCGCGCCGGCUGGCGUGGGCAACCCGUUGAACCGCAAACGUGCUAGGGAUCGGAGAUUGCAAUUGUUCUCCGUGAACGAGGAAUUCCUUGUACUGGCGAGUCAUCAGCUCGCGGGGAAUCUGUCCCUGCCCUUUGUACACACCGCCCGUCGCUACUACCGAUUGAGUGGUUUAGUGAGGCUCACGGACUG
This 1422-nucleotide ribosomal RNA is filed under the name Chiastosella enigma. Its description in RNAcentral is "SSU rRNA". It matches the Rfam family "Eukaryotic small subunit ribosomal RNA", at positions 281 to 1717 of the family's 1831-position model. The record is from RNAcentral. Lineage: Eukaryota; Metazoa; Bryozoa; Gymnolaemata; Cheilostomatida; Escharinidae.